This 359-nucleotide long non-coding RNA is filed under the name Elaeis guineensis (African oil palm). RNAcentral describes it as "long non-coding RNA (EGUI_LNC072210)". Lineage: Eukaryota; Viridiplantae; Streptophyta; Magnoliopsida; Arecales; Arecaceae. The record is from RNAcentral.
AAACUCUACGUGUCAUAAUCUCUUAUGGUCCUUUCAUACGUAAUUUCAAUAUUUAAGCAAAAAUCAUAAAAAUUUCUCUCACUACAAUCAUCAAAGAUCUACAUCAUAAUGAUCCUAAUGUCUAUCCACUUACACUCAUUCUAUAUCUAAUUCUAUGUAUCACUCAUUCUAUAUCUAAUUCUAUGUAUCAUAAUUUAUCCACUUAUGCUCUGAUAUCACUUUAAUUGUUACGCCCUCGACUUAAGCUUGUGAGGCGAAGAUCAUGGCAACCGUCGCAUACUCAUAAGGAACUCUUCUCACAAACAUGCAAGACAUCUUAUCAGGCUAUCAUAAAACAACAGCAGAAUAAUUAGUCAAUA